UGGAAAUCCCCUAAUGGGACAAGACUAAGUUUAAAUCUUUCAAGAGUUACCUACCAGCUCCUCAAUCGGACGAAGAGUUUAUUUGUUUUACCACAAUAGCCUCCUUUGCUUUUGUUCGAUUUUUACUCAUAAAUAAGCGGCUUGGAUCCAUCAACAGAACCAGCACAAGUCACUUAAAGUAGAUUUUUGCAAGAAUUAUCGAACGGAAAACCAGGAGCUGUACAAGAAGGUGAUCAUGAAGAAAUAUUCGGCAAUUUUCCUUCUCGUAGCCUUAGUCUGCCUCGUAACUAACAUACCGGCAGCUCAGGGAUUUUCUUACAGCAGACAAGCGUGGAAAAGAGUCUUAGAGGCGAUGCAUGACACUCGAAGUAUUUGUCAAGAAUUACAAAAGCGCUGUUAUUCUGAGACCGUAAGAGACCAAAGAAAGCAGGCGAACCCUUGAAGAAGAACUCUGAUGUUUAGCAGCCGGUCGGCCACCCACAUCGUUAAGUGGUGAACUGAAGCGCACGGAAAUUGAUAAAUAUUUGUUCUUGAGUCGUAUAUGUGAUGUAAAUUUUAGGAUUUAGCGGUAGUAUUUCAUGUUAUCUUGGAAGAUUGGUUAGUUGUCUGACUGUCUGUUUUAAACCUGAAAUGGAUGCCUGCUGUUCAAAGCUCUCCAACAUGUUUCUGAAUUUCCCUUUGCUUUGUGUUAGCACGUGCUUAUUGCAAAAUUUAGAUGACCACGUAAAACUACACAUAUUUGACGUGA
Molecule: long non-coding RNA, 748 nt
Organism: Pocillopora damicornis (cauliflower coral)
Lineage: Eukaryota; Metazoa; Cnidaria; Anthozoa; Scleractinia; Pocilloporidae
Source: RefSeq, a predicted model, not a curated record